AUUCUUCUUAAUAGUUAAGUUGUUAAAUGUUAAUUUGUUGUAGGUUCUGUCCUGUGGACAGACGCGAACGGCUGAGUAACACGUAGGAACCUACCCAUUGGUUGGGAAUAGUCCACCGAAAGGUGGGGUAAUACCGAAUAAGUCCCGAGAGCAAUCGAGGGAGAAAGGGCAUAACUGCCCGCCGAUGGAGGGGCCUGCGGCCUAUCAGCUAGUUGGUGGGGUAACGGCCUACCAAGGCUACGACGGGUAGGGGGCGUGAGAGCGUGAUCCCCCAGAAUGGCACUGAGAUACGGGCCAUACACCUACGGGUGGCAGCAACCGGGAAUCGUGCGCAAUGGACGAAAGUCUGACGCCGCGACGCCGCGUGAAGGAUGAAGGCAUUCGUGUUGUAAACUUCUUUUGCCGUUGGGGAGACCUUACGGCGAAUAAGCACCGGCUAACUCCGUGCCAGCAGCAGCGGUAAUACGGAGGGUGCAAGCGUUGUCCGGAUUUACUGGGUGUAAAGAGUUCGUAGGCGGUUUGGAAAGUUGUUUUUCAAAGACCGAGGCUCAACCUCGGAAAGGGGGACAAUACUCCCAAACUUGAAGAGUGCAGGGGCUACUGGAACUUACGGUGUAGGAGUGAAAUCCGUUGAUAUCGUAAGGAACACCGAGGGCGAAGGCAGGUAGCUGGGCACUAUUUAACGCUGAGGAACGAAAGCCAGGGUAGCGAAAGGGAUAAAAUGUUAGUCCCCAUGGAUAGUAAUAUCCAUGCUUAAACUGACUAUAUCGGUGAAACACCUUGUAUAUUUCGGAUAUUUUUUGGUAUUCUGAAAUAUGAGGCCAACACCGAGGGAAGUUUGUUCAAAUCUUAAAUCCAGUUUCAAGUUAACACCAAAUCAAAAAGCAGUUUUGAUAGGAACUAUAUUGGGAGACGGAAAUAUUCGACUAAAAGGAAAGUUUGCUCGUUUACAUAUAAAACAUUCGGCAAAUCAACUUUUCUUUGUCAAAUAUAAAAGACGAGUAUUUUCAAAUAUUUCUACAAUGGGUGUAAGUGUAUUUACACAAAGAGUAGGCGAAGUCGACUACAAUUUUGCUGAAUUUGUUACACUUACACAUCCAAUUUUUUUAGAAUAUUAUCACCUCUUUUAUCCUAACGGUAAAAAGAGAGUUCCUCGAGAAAUAGAGAAAUUGCUUUUGGAUCCUUUGAGUUUGGCAAUGUGGAUUAUGGAUGAUGGCUCAGCAGAGUAUGCAGGACUAUCUAUCCAA
This 1247-nucleotide ribosomal RNA is filed under the name Candidatus Woesebacteria bacterium RIFCSPLOWO2_01_FULL_39_10. RNAcentral describes it as "bacterial SSU rRNA". The stretch from base 1 to 802 matches the Rfam family "Bacterial small subunit ribosomal RNA". Lineage: Bacteria; Candidatus Woeseibacteriota. The record is from RNAcentral.